CGUGUCGUGAGGCGUUCGGUUAAGUCCGAGAACGAGCGAGACCCACGCCCCUAUUUACUAUUCUUCUCUCCGGAGAGGAGGUACCAUAGGGGGACUUCCCGUUAUAAAUGGGAUGAAGGAGUGGACAACGGUAGGUCCGCAUGCCCCGAAUCUUCUGGGCUACACGCGGCUUACAAUGGCUGGAACAAUGGGCUGCAACCCCGAAAGGGGGAGCCAAUCCCGAAAUCCAGUCCAAGUACGGAUUGAGCUUUGAAACUCAGGCUCAUGAAGCUGGAAUCCCUAGUAGUCGCAGUUCACCAAGCUGCGGCGAAUACGUCCCUGCUCCUUGCACACACUGUCCGUCACUCCAACUAAGCGGGGUUCAGAUGAGGAUCGGUCAUUUGAUUGGUUCGAAUUCUAAGUUCGUGAGGGGGGAGAAGUCGUAACAAGGUAACCGUA
Molecule: ribosomal RNA, 438 nt
Filed under: uncultured euryarchaeote
Lineage: Archaea; Methanobacteriati; Methanobacteriota
Description: bacterial SSU rRNA
Rfam family: Archaeal small subunit ribosomal RNA
Source: RNAcentral